Molecule: long non-coding RNA, 593 nt
Organism: Daktulosphaira vitifoliae (grape phylloxera)
Lineage: Eukaryota; Metazoa; Arthropoda; Insecta; Hemiptera; Phylloxeridae
Exons: 2
Source: RefSeq, a predicted model, not a curated record
AGUGUUUUUUUAACUACGGCAACCGUUUACAUGCAGAAGAUAAAGUGUCGGGACAAAUUUUUUUUUUUCAUUUUAUAGUACAUAAAAUAAGCUUUAAUUUGAUAUAUGUUUAAAGGACGCAGUAUUUCCGGAACAUUUUCAAAAAUUAAGUUGAAAAAUUAGUUUUUGUAAAAAAGUUGCAAUUUUAAAUCCCCCCCCAUGAGCAGGUUAAGUGUUAAAUUUUCAAAAAAAUUAUAUCAAAUGAAAGGAAAAUAUCUAAGGUUUUAGUUUAAAAAAAAAUUAUGUUGAUUUGUUGAUUUUUGAAAAAGUUAUGGAAGUUUUAAGAAAAAAAAGUGAAAAAAAUGACAAAAUUUGUCGAUUUUUAAAUUUGUAAUUUUUUUGGAUAUUUCCCCCAUUUGCGGGGAACGAGGGAAAAUUUUUAAAUUUUUAAGGGUAAUGUCUUCAACUAGAUACAAUUUGUGAUCUUUUGACGUAUUGUUAAAAGAAAUCGGUCCAGUGAGAGCUGAGAAAAAGUAGUGACAGACACAAAAAAAAAAAUAAACACAUCAUAGUAAAAUUAAUACCUUCUCAGCUUCGCAUCGAAGCUAAAAUUU